Molecule: long non-coding RNA, 2948 nt
Organism: Triticum dicoccoides
Lineage: Eukaryota; Viridiplantae; Streptophyta; Magnoliopsida; Poales; Poaceae
Exons: 4
Source: RefSeq, a predicted model, not a curated record
CCUCUCCUGACCUCUCGUCUCUCUCUCACGACCUGGGCGGUUGUGUAGCCACCGUCGAACACCACCAUCCAUGGAACGCCGCCUCCUCUUUGCCUAACCGCCACCAUCCUCUUUCUCACGUUUACCCUCAAGAUGCAACAGGGAGGGCUCCACUCCCAGAUCGAUCACGGCGCUACACCACUGAGAUCUGAACCAAAUUUAUUCCUACAUCAUGUGUGGAUUCCUUGGUUGCGCCACCGCCAGAUCCAGUCUUGCUAGAUCACCCGGGCGGAGGCAGGGUGAGCACCUCCUGGCAACCCUAAGCCAAGCUAGAUUCUUGUGAAUCCACGAUGCAAGGAGUCCCCCCAAGCGGCUCAGAGGGGCUGGCGUGGAGAUAGUCGGGAAGGAUGCGUUGCCAUGGUGACCACAACGAGGUUUCAGUGCAUCCACGGACGCUCGGCAACUUCGCAUGGGGCUAACUCCAAGCUGGGUUCAUCGGCUCCACUGUGUUUGUCCGCCACCAACACACUCAUUCUUGCCUAGGUCGUUCCUCUCCUUGGUGUGUAACGGACUGUGGUUCAGGUUGAAUACUCAGCAAGCUUAGCCCAUCAUUGACGCCUUCUGGGUUGAUUUAAAAUUGGGAUAAUAGGUUUCUUGAUUGUUAUCAUGGUAACCUUUUUUUUCUGUGAGGUGAGGAUUUCACAUUGGUUCUGAUCAACGAUUGAGAGUAAGCUUAAUUAUGUUCCAUCUGAAAAAAGAUAGGUAUAAUUUUAAAUUUCCGUAAUGUUUUUUACAUUGUGAUGAUGACGUUAAUUGUUGCUACUCUACUUCGCAUACAUCAAUUUAAUUUCAUAUUCAUGGCUUUGUAACGUGUUGAGAGGGAGUAUAACAUCAUGGCCGAUGCUAUAUAUUGUAGUACUAAUUCCAGUCGAGCCAUGAUUAUAUUUUUGGAGGAUGUUGAACUCAACGGGUCAUAUUCUUAAUGAUUAUUUCGGAUCCUCUAUUUGCCGAGGGCCCAUCGGUCAUGAAAUCAACUACGGGUGAUUUUAAUCUAUAUGCAUCCUCACGUCUGGGGAAAAAUGAGAAUGGAAACCUUCACCAUGGAGGAUUUCCCAGAGAAUAUAAGGGGUGUUAAUUACAAGGCUCUAGGAGAACUGUUCAGGGUGUGUGAGCACAAAAAAACACAGAAGACAACUGUGAAAUCAACAUGAAAGGUAUAUUUCCUUUCUUAAUUAUUAAUCUUGAGUUUAUAUUCAGAGUAAUACCUUGUUCCAUUCAAAGGUUGGAUAAAAAGCAGGGGACAAAAUAGGUGCUUGAUUUUACUGAAUCUGCAAUUUAUUUUUAUUUUUGAGUUGUGAAGCUCCAGUACAAUAAAACGUGUGUGGAAGAAAAUGAAAGCUGAGGUGUCAUUUCAUUCAUGUUUGCUUUGUAAUACUCCUAUUUAGCAGAGCAAUUGGCUCAAGUAUAAGCACAAAAACACAGGAUGUGCCACAACAGAACUUAUUAACUAUGUGGUGCCACAACAAAACAGUUAUCCAUCAACAAACAAAAGAUCGAUAAGGCUUGACCAACUUCACACUAUUCCCCUGCGUGUCAGCUAACUUUUAGUUUAAUUACUAAGAUAUUUAUGUGUUAGUUCAGGCAAAUUUACAAGCAUGUUUCAAAUCUUCAUAUAUUUAUAGAAAUUCCUAUCUUUUUAUAGCAAAUAUAGAAGGGCGCGGCAACGCGCGCCAGCAUGGUCUCUAGUUGAGAACAGUAAAACUGCAUCUAAUCCCUGCCCUCUCAGUAAUUAGGCAUUUCUGGCCGUUGGAUUUCAUUAACUUGGCAUUCUUCACCGUUGGAUCUUCAGUUAGCUGUACCUUAAUCGCGAAGUGGGCUAAAUGUCGCAAGGGCAGGGAAGUACCUCUUCGUGAUUCAGGGCAACCUCUACCUGGUUGCCUAAUUCUCCAUCUUGCCUUUUUCAUGACUAAUUUCUACAUUUCCUGACGGCCAGGCAGUCGAAGCCCUAGCACGCACUCCAGCAGCACGGCGCAGGCCUCCUGCACCACCUGCAUGGCGCAAUGCUUUGAGCUUCUCUUAGCGGCUUGGAGGUGAAGCCAAGGUGGAAGGGAAGGUUUUACUGUAAUGCUCGAUCUUACAUCUUGUAUCGACAGUGGUGGCCAGCAGUGGGAAGCUUACUGAAAUCAACUUAUAUGGUCCGAUCCCCUCUCUACUUCUUUAAACAAUGUUCAAAGCAUACAAAGUAUGCUUAAUUAUUCGUUUCGCAGAAAUAAGGUCUGGAAUAUUUUCCUGCAAAAUAAAGGUCAGUAACAUAAAUAUUUGGAUGGUGAAGCUUUCACUGGUGCUCCGUGCACUGAUCGUCCGACAAGCGGGGCAACGGCAGCCACGGCGCGCGGUGGCUGGCUUUGCUCAAGCAAACUAUCUUCCCAAUUAAGUUUUUGUGCCCCGUGUUUCUUGAAGCUAUCCAGAAUUUGAUUUCUUUGACAGUGUACAUGUCAUGUGUUUGAUGCAAUGCACAAGAGGAACCAUUGUGCUCAACGGUCUUUAUUCUCUAUGUGCGAAGAGCCGAGGAUUACAUCAUGGACUCAGUACAAUGUGUUGGCUCAAGAGCUACCGGAGUUGUCCGCUUCUUAAUAUUUGGACAGUUGAAUUCAGGAAUAUAUGAGACAUGCAUUUGAAUUAAGAGAUGGAGAAUCUGAUUAUACCUUGCAAAAGGUGCUCCGGCAUCCUCCUUCUGCUGCGAUGAUGCAUAUUGCAUUAUGAUUUCAUAAUAUUCCUUUUACACCGAUCUCCUGAAGUUAAACAUGAAUGCAGACAUGAAGAAUUAUUAUGGAAGUACUACAAAAGCAAGCAUUUUUAGGUGGUUUAGAAACUUCUGUCAGAAAUUUCCUAUGUGGUGUUCAAGUUAUAAAGUAAAAUCAAUACCUUUUGGUGGAUCACCUUUUUUCACUAUUCAUGUUAUUAGCCUA